GCUAGUGUGCUCAGUGGUUAGAGCAUCAGACCACGCUCCAAAAGGUCAUGGGUUUGAUUUCCCGUCAAUAGCA
Molecule: transfer RNA, 73 nt
Filed under: Myotis davidii
Lineage: Eukaryota; Metazoa; Chordata; Mammalia; Chiroptera; Vespertilionidae
Source: Rfam by way of RNAcentral